Molecule: ribosomal RNA, 859 nt
Filed under: uncultured bacterium
Lineage: Bacteria
Description: bacterial SSU rRNA
Rfam family: Bacterial small subunit ribosomal RNA
Source: RNAcentral
AGAGUUUGAUCCUGGCUCAGGAUGAACGCUAGCUACAGGCUUAACACAUGCAAGUCGAGGGGCAUCGAGAAGAAAGCUUGCUUUCUUUGUCGGCGACCGGCGCACGGGUGAGUAACGCGUAUCCAACCUGGCCCGCAGUAGGGAACAGCCCGGCGAAAGUCGGAUUAAUGCCCUAUGUCUUCCUUUGCAGGCAUCCAAUGAGGAAGAAAGAUUUAUCGCUGCGGGAUGGGGAUGCGUCUGAUUAGCUUGUCGGCGGGGUAACGGCCCACCGAGGCGACGAUCAGUAGGGGUUCUGAGAGGAAGGUCCCCCACACUGGUACUGAGACACGGACCAGACUCCUACGGGAGGCAGCAGUGAGGAAUAUUGGUCAAUGGGCGAGGGCCUGAACCAGCCAAGUAGCGUGCAGGACGACUGCCCUAUGGGUUGUAAACUGCUUUUAUGCGGGGAUAAACUUCAGCACGUGUGCUGUUUUGCAGGUACCGCAUGAAUAAGGACCGGCUAAUUCCGUGCCAGCAGCCGCGGUAAUACGGAAGGUCCGGGCGUUAUCCGGAUUUAUUGGGUUUAAAGGGAGCGCAGGCGGGUUGUUAAGCGUGACGUGAAAUGUAGGGGCUCAACCUUUGAAUUGCGUCGCGAACUGGCGACCUUGAGUGGGUACGACGCGGACGGAAUUCGUGGUGUAGCGGUGAAAUGCUUAGAUAUCACGAAGAACUCCGAUUGCGAAGGCAGUCCGCGAGUCCCCAACUGACGCUAAAGCUCGAAAGUGCGGGUAUCGAACAGGAUUAGAUACCCUGGUAGUCCGCACGGUAAACGAUGAAUGCCCGCUGUCUGCGAAACACUGGAAGCGGGCCAAGGGAAACC